GCACAAGCGGCGGAGCAUGCGGAUUAAUUCGAUGCAACGCGAAGAACCUUACCAAGGCUUGACAUACACCGGUAACGCCCAGAGAUGGGUGCCCCUUUGUGGUCGGUGGACAGGUGGUGCAUGGUUGUCGUCAGCUCGUGUCGUGAGAUGUUGGGUUAAGUCCCGCAACGAGCGCAACCCUCGUCCUAUGUUGCCAGCGGGUCAUGCCGGGGACUCAUGGGAGACUGCCGGGGUCAACUCGGAGGAAGGUGGGAUGACGUCAAAUCAUCCAUCGCCCCUUAUGUCUUGGGCUUCACGCAUGCUACAAUGGCCGGUACAAAGGGCUGCGAUACCGCGAGGUGGAGCGAAUCCCAGAAAGCCGGUCUCAGUUCGGAUUGGGGUCUGCAACUCGACCCCAUGAAGUCGGAGUCGCUAGUAAUCGCAGAUCAGCAACGCUGCGGUGAAUACGUUCCCGGGCCUU
This 460-nucleotide ribosomal RNA is filed under the name uncultured Cellulomonas sp. Its description in RNAcentral is "bacterial SSU rRNA". It matches the Rfam family "Bacterial small subunit ribosomal RNA", at positions 923 to 1382 of the family's 1533-position model. The record is from RNAcentral. Lineage: Bacteria; Bacillati; Actinomycetota; Actinomycetes; Micrococcales; Cellulomonadaceae.